AUAUCUCUCUGUACGGGAAGGAUGAGAAGCUUCGACUAAGGUUCGAUUCGAGCGAAAGCGAGAAAGCGUUGCCGCAGGCAACGACCC
RNAcentral lists this small RNA (87 nucleotides) under Salmonella enterica. RNAcentral's name for it is "partial RtT sRNA". It matches the Rfam family "RtT RNA", at positions 1 to 85 of the family's 130-position model. Rfam says of the family: This family represents a bacterial cis-regulatory element known as RtT RNA. The exact function of RtT is unknown although it is thought that it may be involved in changing the cellular response in relation to amino acid starvation. Lineage: Bacteria; Pseudomonadati; Pseudomonadota; Gammaproteobacteria; Enterobacterales; Enterobacteriaceae. The record is from RNAcentral.